RNAcentral lists this unclassified non-coding RNA (193 nucleotides) under fungal sp. RNAcentral describes it as "partial internal transcribed spacer region". The stretch from base 1 to 46 matches the Rfam family "Eukaryotic small subunit ribosomal RNA", at positions 1786 to 1831 of the family's 1831-position model. The record is from RNAcentral. Lineage: Eukaryota; Fungi.
AAGUCGUAACAAGGUAUCCGUAGGUGAACCUGCGGAUGGAUCAUUACAAAAUCUGAUACUUUACGUGUCAUUUCAACCAUUUGUGAACUGUUUGAAGCUUAACUGCUUCUAUACUUUUUAUAUCAUUUACACUUAUUACAUCACGAUUAUACCAAUUGUCAUAAAACUUUUAGCAAUGGAUCUCUGGGCUCUC